RNAcentral lists this long non-coding RNA (1830 nucleotides) under Homo sapiens (human). RNAcentral describes it as "HSALNT0333454". The record is from RNAcentral. Lineage: Eukaryota; Metazoa; Chordata; Mammalia; Primates; Hominidae.
GCAAGACAGUCUCUUAAAAAAUAAAAAUAAAAAAGGAUCAGACUCUCAGUUAAUCUCUCCUAGAUCCAGGAAAGGACUAGAAAGGGAAAGCCUGGCAACAAAUGGAAAUUUCCCCCACAAAAGACUGAUUUGCAGGGCCUCAUCGGUCUCCGGGCCCUGAGGCAGCCAUUUCAAAAUAGGGCAAAGAAAUAUCUUUUGGGGUAAAAUAUUUUUAUUUCCUUCACUUUACUUUCCUCAAGAGACUGCUUUAAAGGUUAAAUGCAGUAAUAUAUUCUAGGGCCUUGGACAGUGCCCCAGAAAACACAUUAGGUACACAAAAAAUAUUUAUUGAACCUGAUUUUAUCUCUGAAUCUUAGUUUGGAGUGGCUCUUGUGGGAGACUAAAAUAUGCCACCCCGAAGUAUACUUUGUCAUAUUUCAAGAUGGCUAUUCAGAGAAACUGCAGAAAUAGGAAUAGCUCUGAAAAGCUCUUUUUUGUAAAAGAAUUGUAUACCUAUCAAGGAAAUCUACAUUAGUAAACAGUGGAUGCAAGUACUGGCUUUCUCUGAGGCUCCCUUUCCUGCCUAAAGAGGAAUCUAAGACUGACUCAAAGGAGAGAAAACUACUUUGUCACAGGCUGUCAGCUAUUCUGCGAUUACCUGAGAGACUUUAUCUACAUAACAAGAAAACCUUUGCCUUUCCUCCCCUGGUGCCUUUGCCCUUCCUCCUUCACCCUCCUACAACAUGUGUCACCACCUCCUCCAAACCCCCAGAAGUCUCAAGACCUUUUUUCUUUCUGUAGUCUCAGAAUGGCAUAAAAACGUCAAUUAUUUGGCCCUUCUGAGAGAGAAAUAAUAUAGGGUGGUCACAAGAGAAUAGAAGAUUCCAUGCAGUAGUUUCACAUGACUAGCAAAAAGGAAACUGUUGAAAUAGCUGCACAAACUAGGAGCCAAAGAGACCCUGAAAACCGAAAUGUUUGCCAAGCUGGCUAAGUCCUACUUGACCCAACAUGGCACUGGAUUUGACCUAGCUUUCACCUGGGACCUUAUUAUACACUUAUUAACAUACAAAUCAGACAUCCACCAACACCAUGACAGUUCCGAGAACACCCAUAUUUCAUGGAAAAAUGGAUGGCACCACAGUUCUGAGAAAUUGUCACCCUUUUCCAGAAAUCUUCAUGGAUAUUCCACCCCUUGGUUAAGGAAACCCAUAAAGUUAGAAGCCCCAAUCACUCCUGGGCAAGACUGACUCUCUUGAGUAAGCCUGCACUUCCCUUCCUUGAGCAUGUAUUUUUCACUUUGCAAUAAACCUCUGUACUUUUUCUGACUUGUCCUUGGAUUCUUUCUGGCAGCAGUGGCAAAGGCCUGGACACUGGCUGGGAUCAACAUCCUAAUGGCAUUUGGGUACCUCCCCUAGCCCACCGGUAUCAUUUCUUGGAGUACUGUAUUUUGUGAGGCUCCUGUGCAUAUGCAGGUCAAGAUAUAAGCAAACGUCAAAAACAAGAGCUGAACUCAAGACCCCAUCAACCUUACUGUUGCCACUCAAUUCAUACUGUAAAAGAAAAGGGCUGGGCGCGGUGGCUCACGCUUGUGAGCCCAGCACUUCGGGAGGCAGAGGCAGGCAGAUCACGAGGUCAAGAGAUGGAGGCCACCCUGGCCAACAUGGUGAAACCCCGUCUCUACUAAAAAUACAAAAAAUUAGCUGCGCAUGGUGGCGCGCGCCUGUAUACUCGGGCUGAGGCAGGAGAAUCGCUUGAACCAGAGGGGUGGAGGUUGCAGUGAGUCGAGACUGUGCCAUUGCACUCUAGCCUAGUGACAGUGAGACUCCAUCUCAAAAAUAAAAAAUAAAUAAA